GGUUAAGCGACUAAGCGUACACGGUGGAUGCCCCGGCAGUCAGAGGCGAUGAAGGACGUGCUAAUCUGCGAUAAGCGUCGGUAAGGUGAUAUGAACCGUUAUAACCGGCGAUUUCCGAAUGGGGAAACCCAGUGUGUUUCGACACACUAUCAUUAACUGAAUCCAUAGGUUAAUGAGGCGAACCGGGGAACUGAAACAUCUAAGUACCCCGAGGAAAAGAAAUCAACCGAGAUUCCCCAGUAGCGGCGAGCGAACGGGGAGGAGCCCAGAGCCUGAAUCAGUGUGUGUGUUAGUGGAAGCGUCUGGAAAGGCGCGCGAUACAGGGUGACAGCCCCGUACACAAAAAUGCACAUACUGUGAGCUCGAUGAGUAGGGCGGGACACGUGGUAUCCUGUCUGAAUAUGGGGGACCAUCCUCCAAGGCUAAAUACUCCUGACUGACCGAUAGUGAACCAGUACCGUGAGGGAAAGGCGAAAAGAACCCCGGCGAGGGGAGUGAAAAAGAACCUGAAACCGUGUACGUACAAGCAGUGGGAGCCUCUUUAUGGGGUGACUGCGUACCUUUUGUAUAAUGGGUCAGCGACUUAUAUUCUGUAGCAAGGUUAACCGAAUAGGGGAGCCGAAGGGAAACCGAGUCUUAACUGGGCGUUAAGUUGCAGGGUAUAGACCCGAAACCCGGUGAUUCUAGCCAUGGGCAGGUUGAAGGUUGGGUAACACUAACUGGAGGACCGAACCGACUAAUGUUGAAAAAUUAGCGGAUGACUUGUGGCUGGGGGUGAAAGGCCAAUCAAACCGGGAGAUAGCUGGUUCUCCCCGAAAGCUAUUUAGGUAGCGCCUCGUGAAUUCAUCUCCGGGGUAGAGCACUGUUUCGGCAAGGGGGUCAUCCCGACUUACCAACCCGAUGCAAACUGCGAAUACCGGAGAAUGUUAUCACGGGAGACACACGGCGGGUGCUAACGUCCGUCGUGAAGAGGGAAACAACCCAGACCGCCAGCUAAGGUCCCAAAGUCAUGGUUAAGUGGGAAACGAUGUGGGAAGGCCCAGACAGCCGGGAUGUUGGCUUAGAAGCAGCCAUCAUUUAAAGAAAGCGUAAUAGCUCACUGGUCGAGUCGGCCUGCGCGGAAGAUGUAACGGGGCUAAACCAUGCACCGAAGCUGCGGCAGCGACGCUUAUGCGUUGUUGGGUAGGGGAGCGUUCUGUAAGCCUGCGAAGGUGUGCUGUGAGGCAUGCUGGAGGUAUCAGAAGUGCGAAUGCUGACAUAAGUAACGAUAAAGCGGGUGAAAAGCCCGCUCGCCGGAAGACCAAGGGUUCCUGUCCAACGUUAAUCGGGGCAGGGUGAGUCGACCCUAAGGCGAGGCCGAAAGGCGUAGUCGAUGGGAAACAGGUUAAUAUUCCUGUACUUGGUGUUACUGCGAAGGGGGACGGAGAAGGCUAUGUUGGCCGGGCGACGGUUGUCCCGGUUUAAGCGUGUAGGCUGGUUUUCCGGGCAAAUCCGGAAAAUCAAGGCUGAGGCGUGAUGACGAGGCACUACGGUGCUGAAGCAACAAAUGCCCUGCUUCCGGGAAAAGCCUCUAAGCAUCAGGUAACAUCAAAUCGUACCCCAAACCGACACAGGUGGUCAGGUAGAGAAUACCAAGGCGCUUGAGAGAACUCGGGUGAAGGAACUAGGCAAAAUGGUGCCGUAACUUCGGGAGAAGGCACGCUGAUAUGUAGGUGAAGCGACUUGCUCGUGGAGCUGAAAUCAGUCGAAGAUACCAGCUGGCUGCAACUGUUUAUUAAAAACACAGCACUGUGCAAACACGAAAGUGGACGUAUACGGUGUGACGCCUGCCCGGUGCCGGAAGGUUAAUUGAUGGGGUUAGCGGUAACGCGAAGCUCUUGAUCGAAGCCCCGGUAAACGGCGGUACGUAACUAUAACGGUCCUAAGGUAGCGAAAUUCCUUGUCGGGUAAGUUCCGACCUGCACGAAUGGCGUAAUGAUGGCCGGGCUGUCUCCACCCGAGACUCAGUGAAAUUGAACUCGCUGUGAAGAUGCAGUGUACCCGCGGCAAGACGGAAAGACCCCGUGAACCUUUACUAUAGCUUGACACUGAACAUUGAGCCUUGAUGUGUAGGAUAGGUGGGAGGCUUUGAAGUGUGGACGCCAGUCUGCAUGGAGCCGACCUUGAAAUACCACCCUUUAAUGUUUGAUGUUCUAACGUUGGCCCCUGAUCGGGGUUGCGGACAGUGUCUGGUGGGUAGUUUGACUGGGGCGGUCUCCUCCUAAAGAGUAACGGAGGAGCACGAAGGUUGGCUAAUCCUGGUCGGACAUCAGGAGGUUAGUGCAAUGGCAUAAGCCAGCUUGACUGCGAGCGUGACGGCGCGAGCAGGUGCGAAAGCAGGUCAUAGUGAUCCGGUGGUUCUGAAUGGAAGGGCCAUCGCUCAACGGAUAAAAGGUACUCCGGGGAUAACAGGCUGAUACCGCCCAAGAGUUCAUAUCGACGGCGGUGUUUGGCACCUCGAUGUCGGCUCAUCACAUCCCGGGGCUGAAGUAGGUCCCAAGGGUAUGGCUGUUCGCCAUUUAAAGUGGUACGCGAGCUGGGUUUAGAACGUCGUGAGACAGUUCGGUCCCUAUCUGCCGUGGGCGCUGGAGAACUGAGGGGGCUGCUCCUAGUACGAGAGGACCGGAGUGGACGCAUCACUGGUGUUCGGGUUGUCAUGCCAAUGGCACUGCCCGGUAGCUAAAUGCGGAAGAGAUAAGUGCUGAAAGCAUCUAAGCACGAAACUUGCCCCGAGAUGAGUUCUCCCUGAGACUUUAAGUCUCCUGAAGGAACGUUGAAGACGACGACGUUGAUAGGCCGGGUGUGUAAGCGCAGCGAUGCGUUGAGCUAACCGGUACUAAUGAACCGUGAGGCUUAACCUU
This 2900-nucleotide ribosomal RNA is filed under the name Escherichia coli. RNAcentral describes it as "23S ribosomal RNA". It matches the Rfam family "Bacterial large subunit ribosomal RNA". The record is from RNAcentral. Lineage: Bacteria; Pseudomonadati; Pseudomonadota; Gammaproteobacteria; Enterobacterales; Enterobacteriaceae.